This 22620-nucleotide long non-coding RNA is filed under the name Brassica rapa (field mustard). RNAcentral's name for it is "long non-coding RNA (BRAP_LNC004619)". The record is from RNAcentral. Lineage: Eukaryota; Viridiplantae; Streptophyta; Magnoliopsida; Brassicales; Brassicaceae.
UAGUCGCCUUGCUUGAGCUCUGGAAAAAGGCCGUCUAUGGCGGAUCUGUCUCUGGCGCAAGGGCGCGGUUGGGGUGAGGUAGGCGUGGUGAGGUUUCCUCGUUCGGUUUUGUCUCCGGGAGGCGGAGGCUCUUUCAGCUCCGCCGACGCCGGCUCCAGUCCCCGCGUCGUAGAGGCUACCUUAGCUCUGACGGCGUCGGUUUAGAUCUCGGGGGGCGAAAGCGUACCGCUGCUUUGCCCCGCCGCCUUGGGUCCCUAGGGUUCGGUUUUUAGGGUUUGUUUCUCAUUUUUCUUUUAGUUUUAAGGUCCUGGUUUGUUUGGGUGGGGGGAGAUCCCGUACGAGGUGGAUCGAAGCUCGACCAUGGUUAAUUGUGUUAGGUCGCGCGAAGCUUCUUUCUCGGUGAUGGGUUUGAACGGUUUCGGUUGAGCUCUCGAACUAUCGAUUGAAGCUCUCCGAGUUUAGUUUUCACCGGAAGUGGAAGGAGUUUGCGGUGGCGAUGUGUGGAUUGUGUGGUUUCCGAUACUCUCUGGUUAAUCGAAGGUGGGUUUUCCUGGUGGUGUGCCGAAGGGGGGCGUCGUCUGAGCCGUAGCGUGUGUCCGCGCGGCGGCGGGGCUUCUUCGUGCUGAUCGGGUGUCGUAGGUGGGCUUUGGGCCCGGCUGGUGAUUUGCGUUUUUUGGGCCGUUUAUUUGGCUUUGUAAUGUGUUUGUUGGGCUCAGCCCUUUUAAUGGAAAUUUCAAUUUGUGGGAAAAAAAAAAAAAAAAAAAAACUUGUAACAUUAUAACUGUCCAAAGUGGCCUAUUCUUGGUUUUGUAUACAUUUGGAUCUUUUAGAUUCGAAAGAAGGUGACUAACACGUGAAUGCUAUAUUUCAACAACAAUCUAGCAGGGAUUUCAGUCUUCUUUUUGCUUUUACAUUGUGCGGUAGAACUUUUUAUUCCAACCCUUUAUUCAUCUAAUUAUUAAAUUCCUAUGAUUUGGUAAAUAUGUAAAUAGAUACCCCAAGAAAAUAAAUCAAAUAGCAGACAAAAAGGUUAAAAUGGAAAUAAGAAUAUAGAAGAGAAAGGAAAAGAGCUUUUAGAUGGUUGGUUCUAAUACGAAAGACACGGAGGAAGUCAUAUCUUGUCCAUUUUGACAGAAAGUGUUUCAACCCACAUUGAUGGGCUUGAUUUGAUCUUCAAAAUCAUGAAUCUGUUUAUAUAGCGUACUUGUACUCUAGCUUUUGUGUUUCGUUUCUUGUAGGGCUAAGCAUUUAGAAACCCUACGAAGAAUCUAUAGACCAAAUCUUAGAAUAGGAGAUAGCACUACUGUUGGAUGAUUAUGUGUCUUGGUUUUUCAUAAAUGUUUUGUAUUUUGAAUUGAUGGUCCAUAGCAUUGAUCGAGAAAUUACAUUACUAUUCGGGUUUGUUAUUGAUUUGAACACGUAAAACACAAGUAACGAAUAUUUCUUAUUACUGUACAAAAAUAAACGACGAAUAUAAAAUAGAGAAAAAUACUAGAAUAGCACCAAACCAAGUUUUUGUUCCCAAAGUAGCACUCAAGGCUCAAAGUCACAAAAAUAGGUUUCAUUAAAGAGGUAAAUAUACACUUAUACCCCUUGGGUUAAUUAAUCCAAAUCUUAGGGUUUAGAGUUAAGGGGUGGGGUUUUGGAAUUAGGGUUUAAAAUUUUAUAAAAAAUAAAUACCAAAAUAAAAAAUAAAAAUUAAAAAAACAGUUUCAAAAAGUAUUUUUAAAUUAUAAAAAGAAAAUUUGAAAAAAAAUAAAAAAAAUUCGAAAAAAAAAUUUUCAAAAAUUUUUUAAUAAAAAUUUCGAAAAAAAAAGUUUUCAAAAUUUUUUUAUAAAAAUUUCGAAUCUGAAAACAUAUAAUCUGAAACUAUAAAAAAAAAAAAAAAUUUUCCAUUUUUUUAUUUUUAUUUUAUUUAUUUUUAUUUAUUUUUGUUUGUUUAUUUAAUUUUAAACCAAGGGUAUUAGAGAUAUUUUACCCUUUAAUGAAUGUCAUUUUUGUGAUUUUCUUCUUCUAGUGCUAUUUUUGAGACAUAAACUUCAAAAAGUGCUAUUAUUGACAAUUGCCCUAUAAAAUAUCUAUAAUCUUUACGAGUAAAAAGCAAAGCUUAAUAUACAUUGACUGUCAGUGGACUAUGGAGUAUGACCAGCUAUGUUACAUGGCAUUAGCUAAAUGAAGUUAUAGCAAAAGUUUCAAUGUAAGUAUUUAUCCUUCGUCCUCACGAAAUGUUGGGCAGUGUUAAAGGCUAUUCUCCGCUUUAGUAACAAUUUGCAUUUUGAAUCCGAUCCUGCUCAUUAUGGGUCAAAACCUACAUAAUUAGUAAAGUUGAGCACCAUAUUUUAAUAUUUUGUAGUAGACUCUCUAUACAUGGACACUUUCUCAAUGCAUCAGACAAAAAGAAAUAUAUGCACUGCGAAUAUCACUAUUUAAAAGUGAAUCGUAGAUUUAUCUUUCGAAUGUAAAACAACUCUAAACCAUCCAUAGCUAGACAAAAAAAAACAGGAAUCUCUAUAUUGUCUAGUUGACCGUUUGGUCUUCAAGUUAGGACAACACCAAUAUAACGCAGCUACGAUUGAUGGAACAUAGUUAGGGUUUAUACUAAUAUAUUUUUUUUGAUAAGUAGUUUAUAAUAAUAUAUACUGAAGAAGUAAUUUGUAAAAAUACUGUAUAUUAAUGAUUUAGGUGUGAAAGUGUGUAUGUUAUUGAUGUUAUAAACUUAUACAGUUAUGAUGAACAAAAGCAUCAUAGAAUAAACGAAUACGAGAGUAAUUUGAGUAUAAGUUCGCUGAGACCUGCAAACUAAUAUGAGUAUAAGUUCUUUGAUAUUAUCAUUCGCAAUGACUUGUCAAUUAUAUUUACUUGAUUUAACUGAAUAUCUUAUAUUAGCUGAGACCUGCAAACUAGUUAGAAUCUAACCAAUAAAAAAUAAAAGUUAUAGAUCUCAUAUGUCACUGUGAUUACUGAGAAAUAUUCUUGUCAAUUUAUGUGUGGCUUUCGAUCAUCUAGCAGUAGCAUUGUGUGUUGUUGAUAUAAUCAACAGAUUGGGUAAUUAAUCUUUACUUUUUUUGCAUUCGGUUUAAUAAUAUUAGUGUAAGAAUAUUAUGUGAUAGUAUCAAAAUAAAUAAAAACUUGAAAACAAAAAGGAUGUGAAAAAAAUAUAAUAGGCAAAAGAAGUUGAGGACAAAUAGAGAAAAGCAAGGAAUAAAUGUACCUUCGUGUACAACUACAAUAUAUGUGGGCGGGAUACUAAGAACAACUCCAACAGUUAGAAACCAUACAAAUUUCUUUAAAAACAUAUUAGUAAUCAUGUUUUAGUUCUUAUAAAUCAAUAAAAAAUAUUAAUUUCCUCUCAUAUGAUGACAUGUGUCUUUUGAUUAAAUUAUGAGUUCUUAAAAAGUAAAAAAAUACGAAUUUUUGGUUUUUUACUCUUUCAAUUUCAUUAUUUUGUUUUUUUUCUUCUAAAAUACUUAGAAUUCCUCCUAAUACUCACUAUUGGAGCUGCUCUAAUACCAUCGACAUAUUGUUCUAGAUUCUACAGCUGGCUUCAAAUCUUUGUUCUUGCUUAACUAAUCUUAAUAUACGAUCCUUUCGUUCUUGUUAGUUGGUAGCUAUAUUAAAAUGUAUCAAAGUUAAUCAAUUUACAAAAAGGUUACAUAUUUGCUACGAAUAUCAUUAGCCGCUCUUCAGAUUUUAUUAGACUAAGGACUUUGGUUUUGCCAUUUUGUGAUCGUUGCUUUUUUUUGGCAACUUUGCGAUCGUUGCUUAAACAUAGUAGUUAAACUUUUUUAACAAACCAAAAAGGUAUAUUGUGAUUGUGAGGUUGUUAUUUGUGCAAGUCCUUCCUAGAGAUCGAUAUACACAUGAAACAAUAGUGUAAGAUCUUAAUUUUCACUAGCUAGACCUGAAUCAUAUCAAUGUAAAUAUCUUAGUACUGUGUGCGUCUUGAUAUGUUGUUCUUGAUCAUAUGUCAUUUAUAUAGGAACAUUUUUGUUAGAGAGUAUAGUUGAUACCGACGAACGCUUUCGUCAGAAAUUCGUCGGAAUAGAACUUUUCCGACGAAUUUCCGACGAUUUCGGCCAUUAGAAUCCCCCUGUUUUCUUGUAGUGACAUAUUUAUAUGGAUCAUAUAUACACUGAAAAUUUGCAUGUUCUGAACUUGUCAAGUCCAAUUAAACUAUUAACUGUAGAGAAAUGGCUUUAAACUAGAUGUAAGGCAUUUUAUAAACAAAUCAUCAUAAGGACAGCAUCAUGAACAUAAAAGAAAAGGGAAUAUACAUAGAACCAAACUAAGUAAGCUAUUGGCAUUCUUUCAUUCAUCAUCAUCAUCAUCGUCAUCAUGAUUAUGAUGAUGGCUAGUUAUGAUGAGACUGGCAAGGAGGGAGAGUUUGGCACUCAGACUCAGAGACACGAGAGGCAUGGAACUUGGCGAUGAAGGCAGAAGCUUUACGGUCAAUACCUGGCUCAGCCACCCAAUAUCGCUUGUCCUCGUCGCUGGCCCAUGCCUUUCUUGUGUAUACGCCAUCGUCCCAUGCGUCUGCUUCAACUCUGUGAGACGACCUUCGUGAUUUAAAGAAGCUGAAGAGCGAGAACUUCUUUCUGCUGCUGCCUCCCAUUAGACGGUACAAGAACACGCCAAGAUCCAAGAAAAUAGAACGUUAAAUUUGUUUAAGUUUGAUGUGUUUGUGUAUGUAAAGAGAUGGGUUUAGCGGAUGUAUUUAUAGGGUGACUGGUAAAGCAGCUUCAUGUAGGAGGUUCUUUUUGUCCGGUUUGGUUCGAAUCUUGGUUGGUUCUGUUUAGAAAUUAUCAAAGCGAAAUAAAGUUUUGUUCAGUGUUCUAAGCUACAUUGUCGGACCAACGUGCUUUUAUGUGUCGCUUGCAAUUACUUGGACCCUAUUCCUUUGUGAGAUGUUGUAUCCUUUUUUUACUUUUAUGGGUGUAUUAAUAUAUAAUCUCGAAUAGUUAGAGUUUCCUUUUUUAAAAAUUAAAACAAUCAUUUCCCCAAAAAAUCAACAUAAAAAUUGGGGUUUACUGAAAUCUUAACAUAACAUAAAUUAUUCUCCUCAAAAAUUACGUUUUAUCCUAACUCAAACCUGAUAGCAUCAUAGCACCAAUUAAAACAGGACAAUAACCGACUCAUUUUGUGUAUUGCAUGCAAUUUCUUAUAAGGUGUUAGCUACGUCAAAUAAUAAUCAGCUAUUUCCCAUAGUUUACUGCUUUCUAGCUCGUCAUCUAAAAGAUCAAGGGAAACUCUCCAAUGUUAAUACUUAUGAGACCUUCAUAAAUUUUUAUAUCAAAAGAAAAACAUUUUUUCUUCCCAUCUUUUUAGAAUACAAGAAUUCAAUUAACAGUACCCGGGUAACAAAUAAUGAUAGAAAAAUAAUAUAACAACAAAAAGAGAGCAAACAAAAUGGAAACAAAAAUAAUAAAAAUAUAUAAAAUUUUAAUGGAAUCAAUGAAAAUAUGUGAAAAUAAUAAUUCGAAACAAUCAGAUAAAAACAACAACAUCCCCUAUAUAUUAAAGGAGAAGCAUUUUUUAAUGCUUUCCUUAAUUAUCUCUUAGUUAUUUUUUCAAGGAUGCAUGAGAAGGCUCCAUUCUUUUUUUUGCUUACGUGUCGCGCUCACAUCGAUUCUCACAAAAUCAUUUAAUGUGAAACCAUUAAAUGUUUCCUUAUUUGAUGAUUUUUUUUUGCAAACUCCUUUUCCAUGUCUUUAAGCAGUCGACGUUUUUUUAUUUUUGUCAGACCGACUGCAGAGUCCUUGAACAGUCGACGUUUCCAUGUCCUUGAUACUAGGCGCAUCGAUGGGUAUCGAAAGCAUAGAAGAAGACGAUAUGAGGGUGAUCGACGUUCUUUACUAAGGUUAUAAAGAAAGAGAUUUUGUAAAGCAGGCGCAUCAACGAUCUGAAUCCCCAUCGAAAAGAAAAAAAGAGAAGAAAUGAAAGGUUUGAUUCCAUUUUUGUACAAAGCCAUGGUCAUGUAUAAAAGAGAAGGAAGCUUUUCGUCAGUUUUUCUCAGCGAUCAUCAUUCUCAUCAACUUCCGGUUACUACAGGAGACUUCCUGCCGACUCCUCCGGUAUAUUUCGAACGUCAGACCUCAGGCGAUUUUGGACUGACCGUCUUGGAUUGCUUAAAACGACGCCUUCUUCACCAUCUUGCUUGCCCACUAGAAACAUCACGAAACGUACGUAAGGAGUGUUCUUGAAAAUACUAUUUACAUAAAGAGAUACGAAUCUUUCUUGACGUGUCCUCUUAUCUUAAAGUAUAUUUCUUAUGAAUAACUAUCCAAGGACUUAAUUGAGUGAUUUUAUAUUAUGAUCUUGAUUUUUAAUUUGAUAUUAUUAGGGACGUUCAAAUACGUUCUACCCAGAUUUUCCAAUUGUUCUGAAGACUCAGAGGUAAUAUAUUUAUUGACUAUUAGAAAUUUUGUUUUAAGUUGUAGACCUUUUAUUAUCUACAUAACAAUUCGUGUGUUUCAGGGUUCUGUUCUGAUAGCUGGUAGUUAUGUGCAUGGCUAAGUCUAAUCUGAAGACAGCUGCUAAACGUGAAGGAUCCCAUAUUGAAAGUUUAGAGGCAGCUAUCUACGAGGAAACUGUUAACAAAUAUCGACAUUCGGAUUCGAUUAAGAAAGUGAAGACUGAAAAUAGUGGCUGAAGAAUUAUUGGAAACCUGUCUACGAUGAAGAUAGGCUUUUCUCUUUUAUUGUUAUAAGUAUUUUAAUUGUUUUAAUCUUCGUAUUAUGCUUGGUUUUUGGGUUCUGUUUAACAAUUUUGGAAGUCUGAAGUGUUUUAUUUUUUAACCUUUUUACGUACUCUAAGCAUAUGUUGGUCGUUUUUAAUAUAAUCCCUCUUAUCAUAUUUUGUCUGAUCGGGUCGAUUGGUUGAAGUUAUCUAAUAUAUUUGGGCAAUAUAAAAUACUUUAAAAAGAAUCAUUAUUUCUGUAAAGUUUAUUUUCCAUGGAUAUAGUCUAUAGCUUUGUAAAUAUGAAUAUAUCCCUUUUAUAAAAUAUCCUAUACAAAUUGUUAUAGCACAUACUAUAUACAAGUACAAUAAACAGAAGAGAGCAAAUAUAUUUUGUCUUUUUUAAAAUCGAAUAUAAUAUUAUUGUACGUGCAUUUUAUUUGAUCCUCAGAUUCCUCAAAUAAAGAAUUAUUUUUUAAUCAAUGUGAGUAUAAAAUUAUUUUAAAUUUGAUAUAGUUACUAUAUGUUAACAGAUAUGAUUUUUUUUUUUACUUUCAGGAUUCAAUUCCGUGCAUUUUGAUUAAACUUCAAAAAAAAUUUAGACUAUAAUUUCUUAUCGUAUCAAUUAAUUAUGUUAUUUUGGUUUUUAUAUUAAAACAAAUUAUGUGUUUUAAAGGGUGGAAUCACAUUCAAUUUCUUUUUUCUUAAAUUUUUUUAUAUAAUUAAAAUAACUAUAUUUUAUUUAUUUAAGGUAGUUAUAGUAUUACUUUUCAAAUGUUAUUGUUCCACUAAAAAACCAGAAAUUCCGGUGUUUUUCACUUUCUCUUCAAAUAUAUAUAUUUAUGUCUUACAAAAUCAUAGUAUAUAACUUAAAAUAAUGAUACAUAUGCUUCAUCCCGCGCAAAGCGCGGGUUACUACCUAGUUGCAAUAUUAUAAUUUAACGAGUUAGAAGAAGUAUUUUUGAUAAACAAUAGAAGGGUAACAACAAGUAUAGUUAAUUUUUUUUUGAACGACUCAAGUAUAGGUAUAAAAAUUAAAAAAAUACUCAAAAAUAUAUAAUCAAAUUAUAUUUUCAAAAACAUGUUAUUGUUAUUAUUAUUUUGACUGAAAACAUGUUAUUUAUAAUGCAAAAUAAAAAGAUAUGCGUGUUAAGGGCUGAUUCUCCUCUAAUACAUACUAGGUGAUUUUCCCGUGCUCAUGCACGGAUAUAAAUAUUUCUAAAGUAAAUAAAUUAUAAUAAUUGAUUGCUACUUACUUUUAAUUUUAAAUUAAUUUAUAAUUUAUAUGGAUUAUUUAUAUUAAUACUAUUAUAUUACUUUGAUUAUACAUACGAUUUUAUAUAUGUUAUAUCUAAUCGGUUUUGUUGUUUUUCAGUCGAUUUAGUUAUCAUUUUGGUAAAUUAGAUUACAUAUAUGAAUUCAACUGUAAUGUUUUUUAUUCUAUAUAUUAAAAUGUUGAUUAAUUUCUUAUUUGCAUUUAGGUGGUUGUUAUCUUAGAUAUGUAAAUAUAUUUUAUAAAGAUUAUGUAUAACUUAAGAUAUAUUGUGCUUAAAUGAAAUAAAAAAAUAAAUUAAAGUGUUUGAUUCCAAAUUACAUAAAUUAAUAUAAUGAAACGAUAAUAUUUUGAAGUCUCAUGCAUAUAUAUAUAUAUAUAAAUUUUACAAAAGAACUAAAUUGUAACAGUUGGUUAAUAUUAUAUUUUCAUUUUUAAUAUGGUUUGAGUUGAGUUACAUAUAUUCUUUCAAAUUCAAAAUGAAGUAUAAUUAUUUUUUUAUUAUAAUUAAGUUAAAUGUGCAUGUAUUUUCAUAAUAUUUAUCAAAUUAUAUGUUGAUGUUUUUUAAAAAAUUAUUAGUAAAUAAAGCGAAGAUCAAUAUGAAGUUACAUGUGUAAGUAGCUGAUACAUUUUUGAAAGCUCAUGUACACAUAUCAAUAUUUACAAUGAUUAAAAUAUUUUAAAAAUUCUAAAUAAUUUUAUGCCUUUGAUUUAUUGAAUGAAAACUAAAAUUUAUUUUAAAUAAUCUUAAAAAUGAGAAUUCAGAUUUGCUUUGGUAUUUUGGUUAUGGUUUCUACUAAGUUCCAAAAACAUAAAAACAUAAAAUUUAAAAGUAUAUUUAAUAUUAAGAAAAAAUAACUUUAAUAACGCUAAAAUAUAAUAUAUAUACCUCAUUAAACUAUUUUGUAUAUAUUUGAUCAAACGAUGUUUAUUUUAAAAUUUUAUUUUUAGUUUUUUUAAAUAUCUCUUAAAAAUAAGCAGUAAAAAUUGUGAUUUUAUUAAAAAUAAUAUUAUAUAAGUAAAAUAUAAUUUAUCGAUAUUUGUUUGCUGUAAUUGAAAGACAUUAUAAUCAACUAAAUUUAUGAAACUCUUAAAAAUAAGCAGUAAAAAUUAUGAUUGUAUUUAAAAAUAAUAUUAUAUAAGUAAAAUAUAAUUUACCGAUAUUUUUUGCAGUAAUUGAAAGAUAUUAUAGUCAACUAAAUUUAUGAAAAAAUAAAUAAAACAUUUCAAUUUUACUAAUUAUAAAAUAUUUUUAGACAAUUAAACAUAUAUCAGUUUAUGUUACUUAAUUAUUUUAUGUAAUCAUAUAAGAAAAUAUAUAGGUGUAUAAAAAUAUUUUUAUUACUUUUAAUUUUUGUAUUGUUUAAACUAUGUUUUAAAAGAAAUAAUAUUUCUGUUUCUAAUAUCAAGAUUAUAUGUGUAAAUUGUUUUUAAUGAAAUCACAUUAUAUAGAAAUUUAUAUUUUGAUCUAAGAAAAUAUAGAUAUAAAGAAAGUAUUUUAUUAGUUCAAAAUUAUAUUUUAUGUUAUUUAAAAAUAUUUUUAAAUGUAAUAUUACUAUUUUGUGAACUUUUCUUUUUUAUGAAAUCAUAUUAUAUAUACAUAUAUUUUCGUUUUUCAAUUAUUUUUUUGAACUUUAUAAAAAAUUUCCUUUUUAUUAUAUGUGUAUAUUUUUUGGAAUUUUUUUAAAAGGAAACUAAUUAAAAUAAUAAAUAAUAAUAUUUUAAAUGUAAGUUAAUUCAUUAAAUGUAUUACUGUAAUCAACCAUCGUGAGAGUUAACGUGAUAGCGAUACAUAGGAAACUGACUUAUCAAAUAAUAUUAUAGAGAUAGAGAGUUACGUUGUGGUAUAUCCAUCAGAUAAUGUGGUUUUUCUUCCUAAUAUAUCCAUCAGAUGAGGCGCUAUUUUCUUAUAAUUAAUUUUCCACAUUAUAAUACAUAAAUCAAUGCAAAGAAAAUCAUAGUAAUGGAGAUAUUGUUCGAGAAUCUGAAAGGGAGGAUGAAGAUGAAGAAACGUGGAAGCUGGUAUUACAGUCGGAAGGUUAUUGAGAUUUUAUCGGACAAGGUCAGUCUUAAAGGGGUCUGUAUUAACUUUAACUUAAAGAGUAUUUGCUCAAUCCCAAAGGCAUCCAAGUUCUCUCUCUCUCUCUCUCUCUUCUCUCUCUCUCUCUCUCUCUCUCUCUCUCUCUCUCUCUCUCUCUCUCUCUCUCUCUCUCUCUCUCUCUCUCUCUCUCUCUCUCUCUCUCUCUCUCUCUCUCUCCUCUCUCUCUCUCUCUCUCUCUCUCUCUCUCUCUCUCUCUCUCUCUCUCUCUCUCUCUCUCUCUCUCUCUCUCUCUUUUCUUUUGAACUUUCUUCAAACUUCUUUUAUUCAAGUGAUCGAAUCAAACCAAAAGUGUGUAUUAUUUUAUGUUUCUAUAGAAUUAUUGUAAUAAAUGUCCAAACACAGUAGUGUUUCUUUGUUAUUUCUUGCUUUCUUCUCUUAAUGAUGCCUUCUAGAUACGGCUCUCUCAAAUUUCAACAAAGUGCCAAACUCUAUCACUUAUAUUCAUCUGCCUAAAGUCUGUUAGUCAAUGCAAAUAAGAAAUUAUUGUGUGACGAGUUUCUUUUGCCUUAACAGAAAAAAAUAUAUUGUAUCUUUUGUGGAAACAUAUCAAUUUUGUAGCUCAUCUGUAUAUCAAACCUUCAUCUCUCAUCAUAUUCAACUUCUAAAUUUAAAUAUAUUUUAUUCCUGAAUUCUACUACGUUUCACCUUUUUCGCUUCACAUAUUCAUAUAAAUGAACACUGAGAUUUGGGAACAUACAUAUGGUCUAUACUAAAUAUCUUUGCUGAACAAAUUGGUAAAACACGUUAGAUUUCGAUUGUCUUAACUACACAUCCAGUCAUCCGCUACAUAAUUUCAUUAUUAGAGUAUUACAUACACUAUGACAAGGCUGUAGUAGAACGUACUAGAGUACAGUAUUUUUCAUAUAAUCAUGUAAACUAAUAAAUCCCAAAGUUCAAAUUAAAAGGAAUCUGUCGAAGAAUAAAAGACACAAAUGUGUUAUUUUAUAUGUUAAAGCGUGCUUCUUCUUUCGUUUUCCUUCUUUGAGGAAUAUAUUCAACAGCUUCAAGCUACACUAUAACAAGUAGUAGUUUAUUAAUAUCUAGUAGACUUUUUCAUACGAAUGCCAUAAUCUUCUAUAAUAAUCGUGUAGCCUAUAAACUACAUAUUUUAAGCAAUAAUUAAAGCAUGACUAUUCACCACCAACAACGAUCGUUAUCGAAUUUUAUAAAUGAAAGAAAAAGUUUGAUUGAUUCUUUUGGAUGUGAAUGGAUUAAUCUUAGCGGAUUUGCAAGCGAAAAAGAAACUCUCCUUGGUAUUAUUGUGGGUUUGGAAUUUUUUUGGGAAAAAUUAUCCCUUAUAUUUUAAUGCAUAAGUAACAUAAAAUUAAAUAUAACACAUAUUAUUUGUUUGCUAAAAUAUAAUGACAAAUAACUAUUUAAACUUGUAUUGGAAAAAGCCUUACAUACUUUGAAAAUAUAAGGGCCUCUAAGAGAUGCUAUAUCUAAAAAAAAUAAACAAAAGGGAUUUUAACAUAUAGUUUCUACUUUCUUCUUCCUCUUUUUUGAUCAACAUAGUUUCUACUUUCAAGUUACGAUAUUAAAAAGCAUACACCAAACAUAGUAUAUGUUUCAAAGUAAAAAAGUAACCCACUAAGCUAGCUAGCACCAAAUAUGCGCAUUACAAAAGUCACUCAUCUUUUUAUCACGACCAAUCAUAUGAACGAAUGUAACCACAAACCUUUUAAAUUUUUAAUAUAGGAAACUGAGUGGGUAAUCCUCAACUUGGACCAGAUUCCUUCUCCUUUUUUACUUUUCAUUUCUAAUUUAUAUAAUUUACUAAUUUUAUUUUAACACAAAUGCUAAAAUCAUUUUUUAAUUUUAAUUUUAAUUUUCACUUAACCAAAAUAUUUUUGGUGGUUUGAGCCCAAGGCCCAGUACUAAGAAUGUAUGGGCUUAGCAAGGUCUACUUCUACUGCCUGCUUCCUGUCCAUUAUGACAAUCCAGGUGUUAGCAGAACGUGAGCUGAAGAUCCAGAGCGAUGUGAAAGAGAUUCGCAAAGUCUUCUGUUGUGAACUCUGCAGCAACCAGUAUAGAACGGUGAUGGAGUCUGAAGGUCAUUUGAGCUCAUAUGAUCACAACCAUAACAAGGUAAACAAAUAAUACAUGAACCCUUGUUCUUGUUUCAUAGCCUAUCGAUGGCCUGAAAACAUCCAAGUGUGACUAUGCAGCGAUUCAAAGAUAUGAAAGAAAUGCUCCGUGAAUGCAGCCGCGACGAUAGGAAGAAGCCAGAGAAGCAGCGUCAAGAGAGGGAGAUGACUAAAAUGUGCUCAAUACUAUCUGUUCCUUUUACAUGUUUUGAUAUAUUGUGGUACGGUUGGACUUAACCACAGAGUAUUGUUUUCUUUCUUUAGGACUGAUGCUCGUAAACAACAGCAGAUCCAACAGAACAAGCUAGAAGAAGACCCAGAGAACGUCCAAGCCUCAUUACCGGCUAAGACCACUGUUACACCACUAGCUGUCCAAUAACAACGAAAAACAUUGAAGUGUGGCUUUUCUAUCAAAGAGGGGCAGUAUAUCAAAGGUGCAGUAACACAAGCUAGGACUAGUUAAUCCUGCUACAACAUUACUUGCUCACAUAUCAAUUGAAACUAAAUAUCUGUUACAUUUUUGUAGAGCAAACCAACAAGCAGCAUCAAGAAGCCUAAAGUAAGCAAUUGCAUCGAUUUUUGGCCACGGAUAGCGACAAAGAUUAAAGUUGUUACAUCUUGAUUCAAGAACAUUGUACUAUUUUUUUUUUUGCUAUAUAGAACAUUGUACUUUAUGUGAUUCUGUUUUAUGUUUUAAAAAAAAAUUAAUCUGCAACAAAAUUACUGUCUUUCAAGUCUUUGGCUAUAUAUCAAUCUGACUGUUAAAAACAACCGUUAAAGGUUAAAUUGCCACUCCCACUGUUUGGAAACCACCGCCUACUCAAUGGACUAAAUGUAAUAAAGAUGGUUCAUGGAACCAUAAAGAAGGAAGAGGCGGCAUUGGUUGCUAUAGAAGCGGGAGCUGAAACACUCAGAUGGGUAGUAUCAAUAAUGACUGGUUUUGGAUAUCGAAAUGUUGUUGUUGAGUCUGACUUGCAGCUGCUGGUCCGGAUGAACAGAGGUGAGGAGGAUAUAUGGCCUAUACUAAAACCAAUCAUCCAGGACAUAAACCAUUCUUUGAUAGCAUUCCCAGCUUAUGUGAUAUCAUAUUACCCUAGGUAAAGAAAUAAGGCAGCUGACACGAGAGCAAAUAAGACUUUUCAUUUAUGAAUAAUGUCCCUAAGCCGUUAUGUAUUCUAUUAGUGCCAUCUUGGGUAAAGUCUUUUAUGGAGGCUGAUAAACCUUGUGUAAGAAUGUCUUAGAGGAAAAUGAAAGUUGAUGUAGAGCAAAAGAAGAAGAAAAAGAAAAACAACCGUUAAAAGGUGGGUCACCGCUGUGUCCUGUCCGUAGAAAGAUGUAACGGAUGCAAAAUGGCAGACCAUUUAACACGUGAGUUAAAAGAGCCUUUGUGUUGGUGGUAACUUGGUAGGUGAUAUCUUCCUUCCUUACCAACACGCGCCAGUCACGUGACAUGGUUAUUUUGUUUGUCCACUUGUCGUCGUCAUGGAACCGCACUUUCACAACUUGUCUUUAUCCUCUUUUUAAUAAUGAAUGAAUGAAAACAACAAACUCAAAACCAUUCCUCUUUGAACAAAUCCAAUGGCGUCUCUCUCUCCGCCGGAAGAAACCGCCGCCGCCGCCGCUUCCUUUCACCACCGUCGCUCCAAACGCUAUUCCUCCUCCACCACCAACGGCGUUGAACCGGUUCCCGACAAACGCCACAAGAUCUCUCCCCCUCCGAGUUUCAUUUCACCCUCCGAGAUCGAGUCAGAGUUCUCGCACCACGACCCCGCCUUCGCGCGGAUCAACAACGGAAGCUUCGGCAGCUGUCCCUCCUCCGUCAUCGCCGCGCAGCGAGACUGGCAGCUCCGGUUCCUCCGCCAGCCGGAUCGGUUCUUCUUCGACGAGCUCAAGCCCAACAUCUCCGCAUCCAGAGCCGCGAUCAAACGCAUCAUCAACGCCGAGCACGAGGACGAGGUCUCCAUCGUCGACAACGCCACCACGGCGGCGGCCAUCGUCCUCCAGCAAACCGCCUGGGCCUUCCGGGAAGGCCGGUUCGACAGAGGCGACGCGGUGGUGAUGCUCCACUACGCCUUCGGCUCGGUGAAGAAAUCGGUGGAAGCGUACGUCUCACGCUCCGGCGGGGAGGUCAUCGAGGUGCAGCUACCGUUCCCGGUUAACUCCGCUGAAGAAAUAAUCAACCGGUUUAGAACCGGUUUAGCAUUGGGGAAGGCGAACGGUAGGAAGGUUAGGUUAGCUUUGAUCGAUCACGUGACGUCCAUGCCUAGCGUCGUGAUACCGAUCAAGGAGCUUGUGAAGAUAUGUAGAGAGGAAGGCGUUGACCAAGUGUUCGUUGACGCUGCUCAUGGGAUUGGUUGUGUCGACGUGGACAUGAAGGAGAUUGGCGCUGACUUCUACACUAGUAACCUCCACAAGUGGUUCUUCGCGCCGCCUUCCGUUGCCUUCUUGUAUUGCAAGAGGUCCGGUGGUGAUGCUGGUGGUAAUCUCCAUCACCCUGUCGUGUCUCACGAGUACGGGAACGGUUUAGCGGUUGAGAGCACGUGGGUGGGGACUAGAGACUACAGCGCUCAGCUGGUUGUGCCUUCGAUUUUGGAGUUUGUGAACCGGUUUGAAGGAGGGAUCGAUGGGAUAAAGAGGAGGAAUCAUGAGUCUGUGGUUGAGAUGGGUGAGAUGUUGGUUAAGUCUUGGGGGACGCAGCUAGGUUGUCCGCCGGAGAUGUGUGCGAGUAUGGUCAUGGUUGGGUUGCCUGUGAGUUUAGGUGUGUCGAGUGAGACGGAUGCUGUGAGGCUAAGGAACCUUUUGAGAGAGAGGUUCAGCAUUGAGAUACCGACUUACUUUAGACCGCCUGGUCAGGGUGAGGGUGAGAUUGAUUCGAUCACGGGGUAUGUUCGCAUUUCGUAUCAAGUUUACAAUAAACCUGAGGAGUAUCAUAGGCUUAAGGAUGCGGUUAAUGAACUUGUGAGAGAUGGGUUCAAAUGCUCGUCUCUAACUGGUUGAAUAAGGUAACAUUGUCUAGUAUGCAUUGGUGAAGGGCACUAGGAUAUGUACUAAUGUGUGUAACGCAGGGAAACAAGCUAUUUCGAGGGGGAGUAAAUGAAUAAUGGAUGGUGAGAGUUAUCAUGGUUUAGGUACCAUGAGGAUUUGGAAGAAGUGAAGUAGCCUAUAUAUAUAUGUAUUUUCUAGUUAAGUCAUAAAACGUCUUCUGAAUACAGUAACUAUGUAUGAGAAGACUUUGUAAGCAUUCUUCUAAUUUCAUUUGCUCAGAAUCGUUUUGUUCAUCAAGUGUCUCUCCUCUUUACGUUAGCAAGGUCGGUAAUAAAGUUAACAACAGUCACUAUUUUCAGUGUUGUUGUUGUUAUUUCGAUGUAACUGUCUUAAAAAUAAAAUCCUUAACUUGUGUUGUUUACGUCACAGCAUUUUGACUUGCUCAAAACCACUAAAUGGAGAACGUUGAUUUGAUGUAAUUCAUUUGGAAACCUUUUGUUAUACUGUAAAGAUUAGAUUCAUUUAAAACGGGCAAUGUAAACACGUUUUAUAGUAUAGCAGAUAUUUGAAAAGGAGACUUUUUGAAAAGACUGCUAUAAUCACGUCUCUAAAAACAUUUGAAGAUAUUUAUGGCAACAGAUAAUACCUACCUGGUAAGACUCGUAAGAGCAAUUAAAGUAGUCAUUGGUUGAUUGAAAAAGAUUCCUCAACUCUUGCAUGUUCGCAACGUUUUAGUAACAUGAAAUGUUUGUUUGACUUUUGAGAGUCUUUGAUCCUAAACCUACCAAACAAACUAUGGGACCCAUACAACUCAGCAAUUCACAAUUCUGACGUGGCGCAGCAUUGGCAUAAUCAGUCGUACAUUCCAGGGUAAGAGUUUUUCUAGCCUUUCUGCAAAUUGCCAUAUUGUGAAGAACCUGCUCAAUCAAUUUUGAAACAAUUCAAAAGACAUGGUUUUCUGAAAGAACAAAACAAAGAGAAGAACAAGCAUCACAUAAUUCAUUUCAAGUAAGUACACAACGAACAAAAGGCUUUUGUUUUGCUCAAAAAAGUGUGAUGAAAACAAAGCUACAAAGACCAUUUCUACUUUGCAAUUGAACUAUCUAAGAAGAAUACAUCAUCAUCACAACAUUCAAUACCGAUAAAAGUAACAUCGAGAAAACUGUGACUCGAUUUCAAACUCAAGUGUCUCGAUCUAAAAACACGAGUGAGGAUUAAUAUCAAAGGCAAAUCAAGAGCUCAAGUGAGUGUCUUUCUUACUGUUGGUUUAAACUAAAAAAAGUUCUACUAGGUUCAUCUUAGUGUUCAUUGCUUACUUCAGACUUUACCAAACUAAACUAUGUGAUCUAACAAAUCACAUCUUGUACCUUUGUCCCCUUUUUUUCAAAAAUAAAGAAAAAAAAAUCAGACCUUGGGAUCAGGGGCGGAUCUACAGUGUCCAGUACGGGGGCACGUGCCCCCUACUACUUUAUAUAUAUUAUUUAGUUAAAAUUGUAACCGUUGUUGCCUGUAGGUCUAUUGGUAAAGAUGUCCCCAUCAACUCUUGAGUGUACAGGUUCGAUGCCCUCCUAGGUUCCAUUUUUUAUGUUUUAUUUUUACUUUGUUUUACAGUUCUGAUUUUUUAGCUUGUCACGUUUCCAUCCUUCAUGGGAACUAUUAAUUGCACUUCACCAAAAUUUGAUUUAUUAUUAAUAAUUUUCUUUUGUUUCUAUUAACACAGUUGCUUCUUUGGUUUAUUUAAUUUUCACUAAUUCUUUUUCGUUUUUAGAUUUCAUUUUUUCUGAAACAAUUUUUAAAUUUAUUAUUUUCUACAACUGGCAUUAUCAAUUGCUAAUAAAUAAGAAAAUAAUUUAUAUUAAAAUAGUAAACUAUAUAUUUACUUUCUAUUUAAUAUUUCAGAGUUUAUUUCUUUAUGAUAUAGUGACUUGUAUGAUACUGUAAUACAUAUAAAAUUAAAUACUAAAUUAUAUAUACUAUAUAUAUUUAACUAGUUUUGAUUGUAGAAUUUAAUUAUUUUGAUUAAUAAAAUUUGUAAAUUUUUCUAAAAAUAUUAAAAUAACUUAUAAAACUUGUUAUAAGUUGUAAGAAUUACUAUAUAUUUUGUCUACCACUUAUACUUAAUAACUUAUAUAUAUUUUUAAUAUAUAUUAAUAUUUUAUAACACUUUUUAAUAAUUUAUUUUCUGGAAAUUAUGUCUAAUGACAUUGCAGUUUUUCGUUAUUUUAUACUUAUAUUUUGACUAUGUGUUUACAAAAUAUUCAUUACUAAAAUUCUAAUUUCGUCUGAAAAAACAGUUUUUAUUAGAAAUUAUAUUAUUACAUAUAUUUAUUGUGUGCCCCCGUCAAAUAAUUUUUCUGGAUCCGCCACUGCUUGGGAUCGUUCCGUUUCUUGUGGUUGAGCUGAAUCAGAAUGUCGAUACACUCGUGGAAUUUGCCAGAUUGGAAAUAGGAGAGAGCGUCUUUAGCGAGUGCAUUUUAUUUGGAAACAUUUUGUCACUGUAAAGAUCAGAUUUUUUUUAAAACAUGAAUUUUUUUUUCUGUCAGCUGUCUAUUUCAACUAGAUUCAGACGAACCGGUUUUCUGCAGAGCAACUCCGUCUGUCCGGAUCUGAAUCAGAUUCACAUCUUCGAAAUCCUUCUGUAGUUUUUGGAACAUGUCGAUCUUCGUUGCAAAUAUUGACUAGUCUAUUGGAUUUGUAACGACGUCCACUAAAUCCGUGCAGUUUGUCUCGAAGUAUUUUCAUGUCUCUUAUAUAUGAGGUUGUCCAAAAUAAAUUUUUAAGGUUGAGAGGCUACUGUGCGGACGUAAUCUAUACACGUUUUAUAGUAUAGCAAAUAUUUGAAAAGGAGACUUUUUGAAAAAACUGCUAUAAUCACGUCUCUAAAAACAUUUUAAAGAUAUUUAUAGCUACAGAUAAUACCUACCUGAAUAAGACUUGUAAGAGCAAUUAAAGUGGUCGUUGGUUGAUUGAAAAAGAUUCCCAAAACUCAGGUAGCGCAUGUUCGCAACGUUUUAGUAACAUGAAAUGUUUGUUUGACUUUCCAGAGUCUUUGAUCCAAAAACCUACCAAACUAUGGGACCCAUACAACUCAGCAAUUCAUAAUUCUGACGUGGCGCAGCAUUGGCAUAAUCAGUCGUACAUUCCAGGGUAAGAGUUUUUCUAGCCUUUCUGCAAAAUCCACGAUGAUCCUUUUGUUUUUUUCUUAUGUAUACCAAAGUGUCGGUAGCUUAUUACUAUUGUUGUUGGUGGAUUCAUUUGAAAACUCUUUGUUUUGCUUCUCUUAUUCCAAAUGAUAUUUUUCUUUGUAGAGGGCAUCGUCAAGUCUCAUCGCACUUUGCAAAUUUUGCAUACUUUUCUCGGCGGCGUGUUAACUCAAAUACAAGUUAAAAAUUUGUACCAAAAUGAAUAAAUCUUAUACAAAAAGAAAUUCUAAACGUGUGAAACCUGGAAGGUUAUUAGAGAAAGGUAUCAGGCUUGCCACUGGUAUAAAGAGAUUUGGUUUAAAUAUGCAACACCGAAGUAUUCUUUUAUUGCAUGGAUUGCAAUGAAAGGAAGACUUGCAACAGGAGAUCGCAUGAGGCAUUGGAGUGGGUCAGUGGGCAGCUAGCUCUUGUGUUUUAUGCAAUGAAUCCUUGGAAACGAUGUAGCAUCUAUUUUUUUAGUGUGUAUACUCUGCUCAAAUUUGGAAACAGUUGAUGGAAGGGGUGUUGCUAAAUUAGUAUACUGAUCAAUGGUGGAGGCUAAUGAGGAUUAUGAGAAGCCCACAGGAAGCAAAGUGAAGUCAUUUGUCAUAAAAUACAUUUUUUAGCUUGCAGUCCAUACAAUAUGGAGAGAAAGAAACCGGAGACGGCAUGGGGAGGGUCCUUCUCCUGCGAAUCUUCUGGCAAGACUGAUAGACAAAGGGAUGAGAAACAAGCUCACUCUCAUUCAGAGAAGAAGUGACAAAGAACUUGAGGGAGGGAUGAUCUAUUGGUUUAGCACAAGAGUUGAAGAUGUCUAGCUUUGAAUUUGAAUUUUUGAGCUCCGUUUUGAAGUCUUGAAUGUAAAUAGAAGGAGGCAUAGGUUCUUUCAUUUAGCAAAGUAACACUUGAUGUAACAAGGUCAUUUUUUCUUUGAAUUAAAUUUAACAUUCAAUUAAAAAAAAAAAUCUUAAGCUUUUAAAAGGAGCUAAAAUGGUCCUUCCUAGUUUGUUGAAUACUUUCUUUGGUACAAAGAUUCACUAAAGCACAAAGAAUACCAAACUAUUGAUUUAAAUUACUUGAUGGCUUGUAUACUAUAAACCAACCAGUCAUAAUAAAUUUUUUUUUCUACUACUCAUACAACAAACAAAGGGUACACAUAUCAGAGAGGUAGAUAGAGAGAGGCAUAUUAUACAAGUGUUGUAAUUGUGCUACUACAUUUAAAGUUUUUUUAAGGAAAUCACAAACCGAGCCAAGGACACUGCUUCCUGGCAUGCUCAGGUACUAACUUUGCUACAAUCUCAACUGCCACACCUUUCAGCUCUGUUAUCACAACCAAUAACAAAGAUGAUUUCAGAAACUUGGAUGACCUUUAUAGGGUAACUUUGGAGCUAAGGGAGUUAGGAAAGGAAGAUAGAUGUAUGUACCGUGAGGCUUGAAGUUGAACAGUGGUGGAAGGAAACGUCCAUUAGGCAGACGUGCAUUUGGAUCUCUUAGCUCAUCAAAGAAUGGGUGAACCAAUGUGUCAAGCUGUAACCAGAUGUCACAUGUCAGGUAAAAAAAAAAAAAACAGAAAUGAAAAGAUUCAGAGAAGAAUGAAUGUUCUAACACUCACAGCGGCAGAUCGCAGAUUGGGAGAGUAUUGAAGAAGCCUUGACACCAAAUCAACAGCCUCCGGAGGCAUGCGUUUGUGGAAUAUCUGUAAACAUAUAUUAUGGUGAGAAGCUAUGUUCAACUGAUGUAAUAUAAUGUUUUAGUUAUACCUUGUGCCAUGGAUGAGCUUUAAUCUGAGGGAACUUGAACUCCGUGUAGUUUGGAUUCAUGCAUUUGAUUUCCUCCCUAGUAGGCGUUCCCAAAACCUACAGCAAUACAACAUAUAUAAACAUUAGAAACAAGAAGUUAUUAAUAAAGGGAACAUGUGCAACAAAGCUUAUUUACCUUGAUAAUCUCUACAAGUUGAUCAACGCCACUCUCACCAGGGAACAAUGGCUACCAUAAGCAAAUGAUAGAUUUUGUCAAUACCACAAAACUCCAGUUUUGAGUAGAAUAGAAUUUGAAUAAGUUACCUGUCCAAGCAAGAGCUCAGCAAGAACACAUCCUGCAGACCAGACAUCAAUGGCCGUUGUAUACUCGGUGGCUCCAAAAAUAAGUUCAGGGGCUCUGUAAUACCUUGAGCAAAUGUAGGAGAUGUUUGGUUCCCCUUUUACCUGUUUUCAAGAGUUGCAUUUGAUUUACUAAAAAAAUUCAAGAAGAAUGUACACAGAAGAGAUUAAUCGAACUCACCAAUACUUUUGCACUUCCAAAAUCACAUAGCUUCACUUGAUGUGUGUGUGGAUUUACCAACAAGUUCUGAGGUUUUAUGUCACGAUGACACACACCAAUACAACGGUGAAUGUAAGAUAAAGCCCUAAAGAUCUGCCAAACAUAGAAGAAGUCGAUAAGUAAUCUAAAACCAAUUUACAAAUGCGAUAACUGAGAGUACCUGAUAGGUGUAGAGUUUGACGUAUAUGAUAGGCAUACGCUGGUUGAGUUUGUUGUAGUGUUUGAUAACACGGUGAACCGUUUCAGGGACGUACUCAAGCACCAGGUUGAGGUAAAGCUCGUCUUUCUCCGUGGUUGAGAAGAAGCAGUGUUUGAGAGAGACGACGUUUGGGUGAUCGAGCAGCCUCAUGGUUUGAAGCUCACGGUUCUUGUACCUCCGGUCUUGCAAAACUUUCUUUAUCGCAACGGUUUCUCCUGUCUCAAGGCAUUUCGCCUGGAAGACAACGCCGAAAGAACCUUGUCCAACAACACGUUCGGCCAUGUAGCUGAUCGUCUGCAUUUGACAUUUGAGGGGAAAUCAAAACCAAAACAGAAGAAAGAAACUAAUGAAUCAACUUAACCUAAGAAAGAAGAAGAAUAAAAAGGUUAACCUGUUUAGGUUGGCCGUUUCUACCACCGAUGGUAGUGACUAUAAUGUGGCCAGUCUCUGUGCUAUUACCAUCAACCACUGUGGCUUCCAUCUCCUAAGCAAAAAUCAAAACCUCCAUUUUAGUUGUCUAUAAUAAACAUAGUAAGCAAGAAACACGAAACAAAGGCAUACUUUAUCAUCACGAAUCUUCAUGUCGUUCAUUUCUUCAGGCAAUUUAUCAACACCACCAGUAGAGUCUAUAGGAGGUGGUAUGCUCACUGAUGCCAUUUUCUUUUCCAGGGUACACACAAAGUUUCCUUCUUUCACUCUCUAAGCUCUCUUGAGACUGCAACAAAUCAAAAGUGUAUUGUUUUUUUUUUUUCAAAUUCAAACAGAGAAAACAACAUUUUAUUCACAAACUGAUUAUAAAAGAGCAAGCUUUUACAAGUGUUGUUUGUAACACUAACAAAGUAACCCAAUUAGCAGAGAGACAAGAACAAUAAGAGAAACCCAAAGAGGAAAGCUUUUAGGCAAAAAGACCUUCUUAACAUCAAAGUAAGCAGAUCUGGAGCUAUAACCACCUCACAAAUUUUCCCAACAGAGCAAUAGAGACAGGCCUCCAAGAAUUCGAGAUGAGCAUCUUAAAAAUGAAAACUUUGAAGAGAUGUUUAAACGUACCGAUUGAAAGCGUAGAAAUUCCAGAUCGAGAGAGAUGGAGAAGACGAAGAUCUUUAGAGGUAGAUCCGUACGAUUAAAUAAAAGAAGAGAUUGUGGGUUUGAUGAUGAUGAUGAGCCUUCUCUUCUUUCCUCUCUUCUUCUCGCUUUAACUUUUUUUUUUAUUAUGAAUUUCUAUUUUAUUUUAUUUUAUUGUGGUGUUUCUUCUCUUUUCUCGUCUCGUGAGCGUAUAAUAUACUGCGCUGGAGACAUUUUUUUAUUUUGUUACAAAUACUAUAUAAUAACUAUAUUUAUUUAUUGAUGUCUGGAAAACCUGUAUUUAUUUAUUACAACGUUUGACCGUAGAAUACGAAAACAAAUAGGCCAAUGGGAUAGUCUUCAAGUGAAAACUAGAGUAGUAAUAAUAAUGGAGACUUUGAAGUUAGCAAAGAACCAAUGUAAAAGUUACAUUGGUUAUGGUUUUUGCUGUGUUUUUUGAGUAUUUCUUUUGACCGUUCAAAACUUUUUCUUGUUCUCCCCAACACACACGACACGACAAAAGUGAGAUGAGGAUGAUGGUAGAAGCAAAUACACAUCAUUCAUUAUUAUCUUAAUAAACUGAUCAUCACAUGACCAUUCGAUCAAUUAUUUCUUGUGUAUGGAUUGCAAGAAUAUACGAAGAGUGUUUACCAAAAAAAAAAAAAGAAUAUACGAAGAGGAGACCACAAGCUGAAAAAUGGGCCGUUGGGUCAAACGUGUCGCAGAGGCAAACAAAA